Molecule: long non-coding RNA, 2050 nt
Organism: Rosa rugosa (rugosa rose)
Lineage: Eukaryota; Viridiplantae; Streptophyta; Magnoliopsida; Rosales; Rosaceae
Exons: 9
Source: RefSeq, a predicted model, not a curated record
UGAAAGGUGAGUUCACUGUUACUACUGUUCAUCAAGGGAUGGAGAAGACGUUUUCGUCCCUGCUUUUCUAUUAUAUUUCAAAAGUGACUGCUGUCUGAGAUGAUGUCAUCUGGGCAUAUUGGUCUUUUUACAGGAAUUGACGUUUUUGCCCUUGGGUUGCUAUUAUAAUUUCAGGUUCUCCAUCAACCUGCAUGUACCGCAUGCUUCUGGAGGUUUCUUCUUUCUUCUACAGCCAAAAAAAAUUGACCUGCGCCGGUUCUUCUUUCUUCUUUAGUCACAUAACCAGAUUGAGAGAGUGGAUUGUUGCUCCUGCAAAUCAUUCCUUGCUUUUGAUCUGCGAAUUUCUAUUUGGUUCCUGCAGUCCCCUUUUUUUCCCUUUUCUCGCUCUCCUCACUGUGAGCUCUUUAGCUGAUUUACGACUUGGGCUCUGCUAUUGCAGUAAGUAUCAAAACCAGGGACUCAGAAACAUAGAGAGAGAUGGGUUGAGACAGGUUUGCUUCCCAGAAGGAGAGUACAGUACAGUUUUUUUUUUUUUGAUCAGUGACAUCGAAAUGAUCAGUGGGUUAUUAGAUUUGUGUUCAAUUUGGACCCAAGUCUUCUUAUUGAUCCCAGCUGCGUUUUGAGUUUUGUUGGCUUUGUUUGGUUUUGGUUUUUGAGUUGUGUCAGUGUUGGAAUUCUCGGUUUUGGGUGUGAUAAAGAAAAACCGUUUCUAAGGGUUUUGAUGAUUUCUGGGUUUUUUUUGUUCGUUGGGUCAAAAAGGUGAGAACUUUAGUGGUGUUCUGAGAUUUACUUUUACUAUUGGUAAGCCCUUUUUGAGCUGAGUUAUUGACUUAUUUCUGAGAACAAAGUUCUUUGCUUUCUGCUGUUUCUCCAUUGUUUUUUAUGCUAAGAAAGUAGACAGAGCAAUCUAUUCUUUGUCAAUUAUAGAAUCAUUGGAGUAAAGUAGGAUUGACCUUUUUUCAGGGAUCAACUGAGAAGGAGGGGAUAGAUUUUAUCACAUUAUGGAGUUCAUUAGACACACUUGACCUGAUUGUUUUGCGUUUUGAUUGGGUCCAGUUUGUGACGAGAAUAUUGGGUUGAAAACAAGUAGAACAGGUAGAGGUUCUGGGCAAUUGGUUGGGCUGAUUGGGAAAAGGUGAAGUUUUCUAAGGUUGAAUUGCUCCCAAAAGGCUUGGAAAUCCGGUUUCAAUUGCUCGCAAUAAGAUUGGAAAUCUGGUUUCUUUCACAGAAGACUCGAAAGUUGCAUAUACUCAAGAACUUGGGAAAACCAGUUUUUUAAACUUCUUGACGCAGAAGUUUGACAGUUUAAGGAUUCUGCUCCAAGUACCUUCUGCAGCCUUGCCUUUCUGUCAAAAGCUGAAAUCAAUUGGGAAGCACGAACAAACAAGUGGUCACUCUGUAUCCUCUACAUCAAAGUUGGAAUAUAGAGUGUGUUUUACAAAAGAUUAAUGGAAGAGCUGGAGUCAUUUGAUUGGUAAUAUAUGAAAUUAACAGGGGAAGAAGGUAGAUAAGAUAACUCGGAGAAAAGGAAGAGGGGACGGAAAGCUGUCAUGGUUUCGUUUUGAUUGCGCACAACAAUCGUGACAGGCAAUUAACCAAAAAAAAAAAAAAGUGACAGGCAAGGUAAACAUGGAACAGCAACAUCAUCACCAUCAGGAACUAAAGCACAGCCUCGCAAGCAGAAAAAUGACUAAACAUAAAUUACUAUUGUUGUACAGCUAUAACUGGAAGAACCAAUGCCUUGAACCAGCUCCAACAACAACUCCAGCAUUUUGCGCAGCUUUUGCUAACCAACUCCAACAUUUUGAGCUGCUGAAACUGAAGCAAUCAACUGGAGCAAUCACUUUUUUGAACAAACUCCAGAAGGAGCUUUUUCCAAGUCUUAUAACUAAACCAGCUACCUCUUUCAAUAUACUGCAUGCAGCUGCUACUUUUACUAUGUUAAUAGCUCCAACUAAAGCACCCAGCUUUUUUGUACAGAUAACGCUUAUGUAAAAUGUAUGAUAACUCUUUCACUAUUUCAAUAAUAUGUAAUUAUUUCCCUUUUGUA